UUUUACUCUUGUCUUCGCAGCUGAAGCCACCCACUAACCCAUAACCCUCUGCAGCUUUCAGUGAAAGUCAGCGUGCAUAGGACUUCGUUCCGCUUCUGUGCACUUGCCGUGUACUAACCGGUUAGACAGUUCAGUCUUACCGACUUCGAUGAGGCACGUUUACCUCCAUAAGUGAGCGCGUUAUGAUAAUGUGAUCGUGGUCCCAGGCUACGGUCUGAAGGCAAAUGAGGCCAGCACCCUGCUGAAGCUAACCAGAGUUAGGUCUGGUCAGUGGCUGGAUGGGAGACUGCCUGGAAACCAUAUGAACACUUUCCGCAACAAUCAGCAUGAUCACUGAAUAACCAACAGAAUUACAGAGGCCCCAGCUACAUGUUAUUCUGGCAAGAAAGCCCAGUGGGAAGAGCUAGAACAAUACAUUACUCAUAUUGAGAUUCCUAUGUCACUUAUUGGAUGAGAGAGAUGGAGAAGCUACUUAGGCUAGGCUUUUCUGUGGAAGCUGUGGGCAGCUAUGGACUUCAGAAGGCUCAAUUUCUUGUUGUUCCAAGAUUAAAAGAUCUACAACAUUUAAGAAUUGCUGCUAACAAAUCUUGUUCCCCAUUACUCCAUAAUCACUUUACCAACUAUGGACUCACUGCAGCUUCAUAUCUGCAUAUGUUAACUAUCCCAAAAUACAGUAGAGCAUUUAUCCUUGCUUGCUUUAAUGUGUUGCCAUCAGCACUUUUAGAAGGAUGAUAUAGCAAGAUCCCAGUUAAUGAACCGAUAUGUCCCUGUGGUGCUGGAACAACAGAAUUUGUUGAACAUAGUCUUUUGUGUUGUGACAUGCAUAAGGAAUGCAGAAAAUAUUUUUUUCUAUUAUUAACAGCCUUUUCUGGAAGUAACUCCACAACCUUGGUACUAAAUUGUUUAAGGGAUGUGUCCUCUCAUAUCACUGAAAGGGUUUCUAAGUUUAUUAUGAUUUCAAUGCAAAUCAGGGGAAAAUGUUAUCUUCCUGAGAGAGGGAAUUUUAUAAAACUGUAUUUUGCUAUUAUGUCACUUUUUAAAGUAUCUUUUAUAUGAUUUUGCUGGUCUGUGACCAUAAUAAAUAAAUACUACUAGAAUUAGAGGGGACCCACUCACCCCUUACCAUUUUGAGAUGGCUCCCUUAGCUACAGGAGGACAAUUUGGCCAAAAUGUGGUCAGGAGAUGGGGCUGAUGGAUUUCAUAAGGACCCCUACCUCUUCCCCCCAAUGCAAGCACUGUGAGGAACCCUUUGAGCAUUACAAAGGUUUUAGGGGAGAGUUCUAGAUUACAAACUCAGUGAAAGUAUGGCACUUUGCCACACCCAUUAGACUUCACUGUUGUUUCAAAUGAGAUGAGAAUGUACCAUUAAAAAAAAACCUUACCUGAUACAUCUCUGCAGCUACACAUUGCAAGGGAACAAAUGGUAGCAAGUUGUCUUACAAGGAAUGCUGUCCCCCAAUACAUUUGUUCUCAAGGUUCCCCAGAAAAAGGAAAACAAUAAACCAAUAGACACUUGUAUUGUAUUUGUCUUUACCAUACUGUAGUUUAUAUUCCAACUAGUAAUGCAAAUCAAAGCCUUCAGGAACAGAUAUGCAACUAAGAAUGAAACAAACCAACCCACUGAGAAACCAAUCAUGUAGCAUGUGUAAAAACAAAAUGUGUUCAUCAUCAGUACUAAUUUUCCAUACUGUCGUCCAAGAAUCUGGGGAAAUAGGAUGGAUAGGCAAUUAGACAACUCAGUUCCCAACAUAAAAAAGCAGACUACUAGCCAUGGAAAGGGGACUAUAACCUCUACAAUU
This is a long non-coding RNA of Rhineura floridana, 1799 nucleotides long. RefSeq lists it as uncharacterized. The record is from RefSeq and is a predicted model, not a curated record. The transcript has 3 exons. Lineage: Eukaryota; Metazoa; Chordata; Lepidosauria; Squamata; Rhineuridae.